UGGCAUGGGGGCACCCUGACCGCAAUGCCGCGUGAGUGAAGAAGGCCUUCGGGUUGUAAAGCUCUUUUGUCAGGGAAGAAACACCGGCUCUAACACAGUCCGGGAAUGACGGUACCUGAAGAAUAAGCACCGGCUAACUACGUGCCAGCAGCCGCGGUAAUACGUAGGGUGCAAGCGUUAAUCGGAAUUACUGGGCGUAAAGCGUGCGCAGGCGGUUAUACAAGACAGGCGUGAAAUCCCCGGGCUUAACCUGGGAAUGGCGCCUGUGACUGUAUAGCUAGAGUGUGUCAGAGGGGGGUAGAAUUCCACGUGUAGCAGUGAAAUGCGUAGAUAUGUGGAGGAAUACCAAUGGCGAAGGCAGCCCCCUGGGAUAACACUGACGCUCAUGCACGAAA
RNAcentral lists this ribosomal RNA (395 nucleotides) under uncultured bacterium. RNAcentral describes it as "bacterial SSU rRNA". It matches the Rfam family "Bacterial small subunit ribosomal RNA", at positions 365 to 758 of the family's 1533-position model. The record is from RNAcentral.